RNAcentral lists this non-coding RNA (183 nucleotides) under Sporomusa sphaeroides. RNAcentral also lists the same sequence under 1 other name. The record is from RNAcentral. Lineage: Bacteria; Bacillati; Bacillota; Negativicutes; Selenomonadales; Sporomusaceae.
AUGAAUAUCGUUGGGAUAGGUGCCCUACGGGGCUUAAUAGGGAAGUCCGGUGCAAUGCCGGCGCGGUCCCGCCACUGUAACGGGGAGCAAUCUCGCAGAUAUGCCACUGGAGCGAACGCUUUGGGAAGGUGCGAGAAAGCAAUGAACCGGAGCCAGGAGAACUGCCUGUCUGACAAUCACCGU